CGGCACGAAGAAAUACUGUGCCAGCAAAAGUUAAUAUGCCAUUCGUUUUUUCCACCGAAGGGAUAAGUGAAACGUGUUCCAUCCACGAUCGCUAUCUGAAAAACGUAAAGCUGGAUACCAGCAGCAUCGAGUUAGGAGAAUCGUUUGCCUUUUACCAGGACCAGUUAACUACAGGGAAAGUGGUCAAGAGGAGCGAGCUGUUCGCGUGGCCCUAUCUACUCCCGGAUGGGGUUGCAGGCAGUAUUGCGACGACAACAAGCAAACAAACCAAACAGAUACAUCUACCCUCCCAUGAACUGAUCCCGCCUUACGACGAUCUACCACACAUUACAGCUGCUGCUUGUGACGCUGCUGUAGCUCUAAAUCGUCAUCGUCAAUCGAAAAGACAUCGUGCGACAGGAAACCACAGAGCGGACAACGACGACGACACCGAUAAACGCUGGCAACCACAAUGAUGAUGCAGCGGCCACUGCAGGUGCUGCCGUGUUCUUUCUCUAUGGCGACUAUCCGCCCACCCGCCCACAAUCACUUGGUCGCCUUGCUUAGUCAAUCGCUCGGCUAACCGACAAAGCCUGCUAGCCAGCACAAGACAGCGCACGGAACCGCCUGCUGGGGCAGAAGCGACAGCAGGAGCAGCAGGACCUUCACAACAACAACAGCAGCGGAACCCUCUCUCUCUCUUCUUCUUGUGAACGAACCAACAACGGGGGCUGCUCCCACAGCACAGACGACUCUCGUAAAGCAGCAACAGCAGCGGCAGUGGCUACUGCGGUCGUACAGCCAACAACCUUUUCCAAUCAUCAGCACUGCUGACGCCGCAGCGACCGCCGCUUCCAUCACUGUCAUCCUUGCCUUGGCGCUGAUGAUGCUGUUUCCGAUGCUGAGGCCGCUCUGUUUAUAGUCGAGCUUCGAGCUGGGUCCACCAGGGCGGCGCCACUGAGCCGCGCGAAAACAUAGUAGGGUGACGGUAAUGGGCAUCGGGCAGUGGGUAACGAGAAACUUGGGUGCGCUUAACUUGGCUUAGCGCAACUGAUCCUAGAAAGGGUGAACGCGGAGCGCGAAGAGUCUGUGAAAACUGAAGCACGCAGGAUUAAGGUGAGCAAGCAACGGUAAAUGGUAGGUAGAACUCAACAGAACCGAUUGGGUCGAACCAUCGCUAUUGCUGAAGUGGCAUAAUGGUCUAUGUUCAACAGUAAAACUUAUUUUCCACUUUCCGAGCUGUUCCAUGCUGAGAUACGAUAUGUAAUGAAUGUAUUAUGAACGAAGUUCGCCCACGGCAAAGAAUGACGAAUUAAUUGUAUGGAAGAAUACAAAUGUUAGCGAAAAACGCAAGAAAACGAACUGAGGAUAAGCCAUGGGGAUACCGAGGAUAAUCAGCUUCCUUAUAGGAUGUCUUCGCGGAACUGGUAUCGACAGACGAAUGAGUGGUCGUUGAUCGAUGCCCAGGCUCCUUGCAUUAGUACAUAGAAUAUGAAGUUAUUAAAAAUCCAAUUGAAGGAAGAAAAGCGUGCAAUAUCAGACUUAGCAGUGAAUGCACGAUGGGAUCAUUGUUUUAAAUCGCAGAAUUCACGAGCAUGAGCUUCCGGCUUCUCUCUCGACUUGAGGCACAAUAAAAUACAUUUAAUAACGGCUCA
Molecule: long non-coding RNA, 1634 nt
Organism: Varroa destructor (honeybee mite)
Lineage: Eukaryota; Metazoa; Arthropoda; Arachnida; Mesostigmata; Varroidae
Source: RefSeq, a predicted model, not a curated record